AGCAACGGGGUUUUGUCCCGCUAUUCGGAGGGUUGAAUCCUUCCGUCCCAG
This 51-nucleotide transfer RNA is filed under the name Eriosema campestre var. delicatulum. Its description in RNAcentral is "partial tRNA-Gln". Lineage: Eukaryota; Viridiplantae; Streptophyta; Magnoliopsida; Fabales; Fabaceae. The record is from RNAcentral.